CAAAAACAUCUUUUCUCGUUAGUUUUUGAAGUAUGGCCUGCCCACUGACUUUGAGUUGAAUGGCCGCGGUAUUUUGACCGUGCAAAGGUAGCAUAAUCAUUAGUUCUUUAAUUGUGAUCUGGUAUGAAUGGCUUGACGAGACAUGAGCUGUCUUAUAGGUAUUGUUUGUUGAAUUUGGUUUUUAAGUUAAAAUUCUUAGAUGUUUUUAUGGGACGAGAAGACCCUAUAGAGUUUGACAUUUGAUCUUGCUUGAUAUUUUGUUGUUUGAUUUUGUUUUUGAGUUUAGUUGAGUGUUUUGUUGGGGUGAUGGGAGGAAUUUUUUUAACUCCUCUUUUUUGUUGUAUAUUUAUUUAUAUUUGUUUGAUCCAUUUAUUUUGAUUACAAGAUUAAAUUACCUU
Molecule: ribosomal RNA, 398 nt
Filed under: Paracurvitermes manni
Lineage: Eukaryota; Metazoa; Arthropoda; Insecta; Blattodea; Termitidae
Description: partial 16S ribosomal RNA
Source: RNAcentral